UUGGGCGUAAAGCGCGCGCAGGUGGUUUCUUAAGUCUGAUGUGAAAGCCCACGGCUCAACCGUGGAGGGUCAUUGGAAACUGGGAGACUUGAGUGCAGAAGAGGAAAGUGGAAUUCCAUGUGUAGCGGUGAAAUGCGUAGAGAUAUGGAGGAACACCAGUGGCGAAGGCGACUUUCUGGUCUGUAACUGACACUGAGGCGCGAAAGCGUGGGGAGCAAACAGGAUUAGAUACCCUGGUAGUCCACGCCGUAAACGAUGAGAUGCUAAGUGUUAGAGGGCCUUCCCGCCCUUUAGUGCGGAAGUUAACUCAUUAUGCUCUCCGCCUGGGGUAUCCGGCCGCAAACCGUGAAUCUCUGAGGAAUGCGCGGGCGACUGCGACAGCAGUUCCCCUUGCCCCUAAACUCGUGUCUACGUCCACACCUUAACAGCUCUCGCCUCUCCACCCUUACUAAAGAUUCGACCCCUAUUCCGGCACCCCUGUCCUUCGUGGUUUUUCUUUCUCGACCCCCCCUUUUCUUCUUUUUUGAACUUUCUUCUCGACGAGCGCAAACCCCCGCCCCUNUUUCCAUNAUUUUGCUGGGGCUCCUGUUUCUACCCCCCUUUAUAUAUCAGAAGUCUGUGAGGCUCCCCUCCACCCGCUCCUCCUUUCGAUGUGUGCCUCGCGCUUUC
Molecule: ribosomal RNA, 669 nt
Filed under: Bacillus sp. PSL-1
Lineage: Bacteria; Bacillati; Bacillota; Bacilli; Caryophanales; Bacillaceae
Description: bacterial SSU rRNA
Rfam family: Bacterial small subunit ribosomal RNA (bases 1-425)
Source: RNAcentral